RNAcentral lists this ribosomal RNA (170 nucleotides) under uncultured Clostridium sp. RNAcentral's name for it is "partial 16S ribosomal RNA". It matches the Rfam family "Bacterial small subunit ribosomal RNA", at positions 338 to 524 of the family's 1533-position model. Lineage: Bacteria; Bacillati; Bacillota; Clostridia; Eubacteriales; Clostridiaceae. The record is from RNAcentral.
CCUACGGGAGGCAGCAGUGUGGGAAUAUUGCGCAAUGGGGGAAAAGUAUAGGCAGCAACGCCGCGUGGAGGAAGAAGGUCUUCGGAUGCGCAACUCCUGUCUUCUGGGACGAUAAUGACGGUACCAGAGGAGGAAGCCACGGCUAACUACGUGCCAGCAGCCGCGGUAAU